This 63-nucleotide transfer RNA is filed under the name Singhiella simplex. RNAcentral describes it as "tRNA-Asp". The record is from RNAcentral. Lineage: Eukaryota; Metazoa; Arthropoda; Insecta; Hemiptera; Aleyrodidae.
AAAGAUUUAGUUAAUGAGAUAACGUUAGACUGUCAGACUAGAGUUGGUUAAAACCAAUCUUUA